This 1357-nucleotide ribosomal RNA is filed under the name uncultured bacterium. Its description in RNAcentral is "bacterial SSU rRNA". It matches the Rfam family "Bacterial small subunit ribosomal RNA", at positions 28 to 1381 of the family's 1533-position model. The record is from RNAcentral.
AUUGAACGCUGGUGGCAGGCCUAACACAUGCAAGUCGAGCGGUAGAGAGAAGCUUGCUUCUCUUGAGAGCGGCGGACGGGUGAGUAAUGCCUAGGAAUCUGCCUGGUAGUGGGGGAUAACGUUCGGAAACGGACGCUAAUACCGCAUACGUCCUACGGGAGAAAGCAGGGGACCUUCGGGCCUUGCGCUAUCAGAUGAGCCUAGGUCGGAUUAGCUAGUUGGUGAGGUAAUGGCUCACCAAGGCGACGAUCCGUAACUGGUCUGAGAGGAUGAUCAGUCACACUGGAACUGAGACACGGUCCAGACUCCUACGGGAGGCAGCAGUGGGGAAUAUUGGACAAUGGGCGAAAGCCUGAUCCAGCCAUGCCGCGUGUGUGAAGAAGGUCUUCGGAUUGUAAAGCACUUUAAGUUGGGAGGAAGGGUUGUAGAUUAAUACUCUGCAAUUUUGACGUUACCGACAGAAUAAGCACCGGCUAACUCUGUGCCAGCAGCCGCGGUAAUACAGAGGGUGCAAGCGUUAAUCGGAAUUACUGGGCGUAAAGCGCGCGUAGGUGGUUUGUUAAGUUGGAUGUGAAAUCCCCGGGCUCAACCUGGGAACUGCAUUCAAAACUGACUGACUAGAGUAUGGUAGAGGGUGGUGGAAUUUCCUGUGUAGCGGUGAAAUGCGUAGAUAUAGGAAGGAACACCAGUGGCGAAGGCGACCACCUGGACUAAUACUGACACUGAGGUGCGAAAGCGUGGGGAGCAAACAGGAUUAGAUACCCUGUAGUCCACGCCGUAAACGAUGUCAACUAGCCGUUGGAAGCCUUGAGCUUUUAGUGGCGCAGCUAACGCAUUAAGUUGACCGCCUGGGGAGUACGGCCGCAAGGUUAAAACUCAAAUGAAUUGACGGGGGCCCGCACAAGCGGUGGAGCAUGUGGUUUAAUUCGAAGCAACGCGAAGAACCUUACCAGGCCUUGACAUCCAAUGAACUUUCUAGAGAUAGAUUGGUGCCUUCGGGAACAUUGAGACAGGUGCUGCAUGGCUGUCGUCAGCUCGUGUCGUGAGAUGUUGGGUUAAGUCCCGUAACGAGCGCAACCCUUGUCCUUAGUUACCAGCACGUUAUGGUGGGCACUCUAAGGAGACUGCCGGUGACAAACCGGAGGAAGGUGGGGAUGACGCCAAGUCAUCAUGGCCCUUACGGCCUGGGCUACACACGUGCUACAAUGGUCGGUACAGAGGGUUGCCAAGCCGCGAGGUGGAGCUAAUCCCAUAAAACCGAUCGUAGUCCGGAUCGCAGUCUGCAACUCGACUGCGUGAAGUCGGAAUCGCUAGUAAUCGCGAAUCAGAAUGUCGCGGUGAAUACGUUCCCGGGCCU